UUUAGACUUAAGAGCUAUUCAAAUAAGGCACAGCUUAUUUGAAAUAGGAUACAACCUACAACAUAGGGUAAACUAGAGUGACCUAAAUAAAGUGGGCCUAAAAGCAGCCACCUUUAGAAAAGCGUUAAAGCUUAACUACCUUCACUCAUAAUACCUAAAAUCUCCACUAACCCUUCAUUACUACUGAACAAUUUUAUACUCAUAUAAAAGCUAUCAUGCUAGAACUAGUAACAAGAAACUGCUUUUCUCCUAAAUGUGAACAUAAACCAAAAUAGACUCUCUAUUGGUUAUUAACGUAAAUGCUAAACUGUAGCAACCCUCACUAGAAAAUCCUAUAACCCCCCAACGUUAACCUUACACCAGAACAUUACAGGAAAGAUUAAAAGAAAAAGAAGGAACUCGGCAAAUUUUAGCCUCGCCUGUUUACCAAAAACAUCGCCUCUUGACAAAACAUAAGAGGUCCAGCCUGCCCAGUGACAAAGUUCAACGGCCGCGGUACCCUAACCGUGCAAAGGUAGCACAAUCACUUGUUCUUUAAAUGAGGACUCGUAUCAACGGCACUACGAGGGCUAUACUGUCUCCUUUUUCUAAUCAGUGAAACUGAUCUCCCCGUGAAGAAGCGGGGAUUAUAAUAUAAGACGAGAAGACCCCAUGGAGCUUUAAACUCACCAUGCACCUCUGUGCUCCUAUACCCCUAAACACAACAGACCUGCAUGUUAGUUUUAGGUUGGGGUGACCACGGAGUAUAACUUAACCUCCACAGCAAACGGGCUAAUACCCUUAUCCACGAGACACAACUCUAAGAAUUACUAAACUAAUGCUUACGACCCGAUAUUCGAUCCAUGAACCAAGUUACCCUGGGGAUAACAGCGCAAUCUACUUCAAGAGCCCAUAUCGACAAGUAGGUUUACGACCUCGAUGUUGGAUCAGGGUAUCCCGGUGGUGCAGCCG
RNAcentral lists this ribosomal RNA (951 nucleotides) under Rana taihangensis. Its description in RNAcentral is "partial 16S ribosomal RNA". It matches the Rfam family "Bacterial large subunit ribosomal RNA", at positions 970 to 2561 of the family's 2925-position model. The record is from RNAcentral. Lineage: Eukaryota; Metazoa; Chordata; Amphibia; Anura; Ranidae.